CAGCCAGCCCCAUCAAGCCUCUUCGGGCAUCGACGCAUAGACACACAUCAUUUUGCCCCAAUUUCCUUUCAUUCCGUCAAGUAUUUCGCAACUAAUCGUU
This is a non-coding RNA of Caenorhabditis elegans, 100 nucleotides long. The record is from Ensembl. Lineage: Eukaryota; Metazoa; Nematoda; Chromadorea; Rhabditida; Rhabditidae.